This 447-nucleotide ribosomal RNA is filed under the name uncultured bacterium. RNAcentral's name for it is "partial 16S ribosomal RNA". It matches the Rfam family "Bacterial small subunit ribosomal RNA", at positions 29 to 507 of the family's 1533-position model. The record is from RNAcentral.
AACGAACGCUGGCGGCAUGCCUAACACAUGCAAGUCGAACGUUGCCUUCGGGCAUAGUGGCGCACGGGUGCGUAACGCGUGGGAAUCUGCCCUUGGCUUCGGAAUAACAGUUAGAAAUGACUGCUAAUACCGGAUGAUGUCCCCCUGAGAGAUCUUGGGGACCAAAGAUUUAUCGGCCAGGGAUGAGCCCGCGUAGGAUUAGGUAGUUGGUGGGGUAAAGGCCUACCAAGCCGACGAUCCUUAGCUGGUCUGAGAGGAUGAUCAGCCACACUGGGACUGAGACACGGCCCAGACUCCUACGGGAGGCAGCAGUGGGGAAUAUUGGACAAUGGGGGGAACCCUGAUCCAGCAAUGCCGCGUGAGUGAUGAAGGCCUUAGGGUUGUAAAGCUCUUUUACCAGGGAUGAUAAUGACAGUACCUGGAGAAUAAGCUCCGGCUAACUCCGUG